The submitters of this non-coding RNA (111 nucleotides) gave its source as unclassified sequences. The record is from Rfam.
ACUGCCGCCGGACGGUGCGGGUCGUGAGGAACAGGAUUCCCCACAGACGGGCCCGACCGAGAAUCGCCAGGGUUUACAGGGAGCCCCGGCGGAUUCGCUCAGGCGAAGGAG